GGGUGCGAUCAUACCAGCACUAAUGCACUGGAUCCCAUCAGAACUCCGCAGUUAAGCGUGCUUAGGCGAGAGUAGUACUACGAUGGGUGACCCCCUGGGAAGUCCUCGUGUUGCACCGC
This is a non-coding RNA of Gossypium raimondii (Peruvian cotton), 119 nucleotides long. The record is from Rfam. Lineage: Eukaryota; Viridiplantae; Streptophyta; Magnoliopsida; Malvales; Malvaceae.